RNAcentral lists this ribosomal RNA (492 nucleotides) under uncultured bacterium. RNAcentral describes it as "partial 16S ribosomal RNA". It matches the Rfam family "Bacterial small subunit ribosomal RNA", at positions 30 to 507 of the family's 1533-position model. The record is from RNAcentral.
AUUGAACGCUGGCGGCAUGCUUUACACAUGCAAGUCGAACGGUAACAGGCCUUCGGGUGCUGACGAGUGGCGCACGGGUGAGUAAUGCAUCGGAACGUACCCAGAGGUGGGGGAUAACGCAGCGAAAGCUGUGCUAAUACCGCAUGUGAUCUGAGGAUGAAAGCGGGGGACCGAGCAGCAAUGUUUGGCCUCGCGCCUUUGGAGCGGCCGAUGUCGGAUUAGCUAGUUGGUGGGGUAAAGGCCUACCAAGGCGACGAUCCGUAGCUGGUCUGAGAGGACGACCGGCCACACUGGAACUGAGACACGGUCCAGACUCCUACGGGAGGCAGCAGUGGGGAAUUUUGGACAAUGGGCGCAAGCCUGAUCCAGCAAUGCCGCGUGCGGGAAGAAGGCCUUCGGGUUGUAAACCGCUUUUGGCAGGAACGAAACGGUGUCCGCUAAUACCGGGCGCUAAUGACGGUACCUGCAGAAUAAGCACCGGCUAACUACGUG